This 250-nucleotide unclassified non-coding RNA is filed under the name plant metagenome. RNAcentral describes it as "partial contains small subunit ribosomal RNA, internal transcribed spacer 1, and 5.8S ribosomal RNA". The record is from RNAcentral.
GUAGGUGAACCUGCGGAAGGAUCAUUAGAGAGAAAUUCUGUGGGGGGGUGUGUGGGUUUAUAUGGUUCUUAGGAGCUAUGGGGCCACCCUUUCUUAGUAUCCAAGAGUGUGAGAGUAAGAGUAGAGAGAUUUUUUUGUUUGCUUCGGCAACAACAACCACCAACAACCCACAAACCAAAACCAAAACAAGAACCAAAAAGAACCACAUGUAUAGAGAAAACAAAAACAACAAAACAACUCUAGGCAAUGG